AGAGAGAUUAGUAAACAUUCCGGCUGGAGAGCUGCUUUGACGGAGAAGAUUAGAUUCAACUGGUUUGGUGUGAUGAUUAUUGAUACCGAGAAACUGAUCCAAACCAACCGAGUUCAUUAUCCCUUUACUCUGCCUCGGGUAAUGCGGCGGCAAACCCAGAAAACUCGACGGCUCAAGCUGCGGCGGUGGCGGCAGAGUGGCGGCGUAUGAAACAGAGGUGUUCGUUAACGAAACCGGAGACUUAUCCUCGAAUUUAGGUGAACCCAGAUCUCCGUUAACGCCAUUAGAGGUCACGAAUCUUGAAAGCAACCUAUCGGAGUCGAAACCAAUCUUGUCGUCGUCAACAAAAGCGGCGAGAACAGAGCUCGGAGCUGAUCUAAAACGAAGAAGACCCGACCCGGUGGGAUUCGGGUCGUAGAGAUGAUUAUUUGAAUCCAUUAAUCGAAUCAAUAUGUAAAAAAAAUGCAACGAAAUUUCCUCUGUUUUCUCUUCUUGUAAGCUCUGUCUCGUGACGUUUCAGGAAGAACAAAUUUGUAGAAAACCAAAUCUUAAUAGCUUUCCAACGUCAACCGUUGAUAUGAAUAUAAGCUUUUUCUUCUCCCUUGUUAAGUUCUUGUUUGUGUCACUUUUCCCGGGAAAACAAAACUUGAGCUUGAGAUGUGAGCAGGUGUAGGAUUUGGG
This is a long non-coding RNA of Arabidopsis thaliana (thale cress), 681 nucleotides long. RefSeq annotates it as other RNA. The record is from RefSeq. Lineage: Eukaryota; Viridiplantae; Streptophyta; Magnoliopsida; Brassicales; Brassicaceae. The transcript has a single exon.